CAUGAACUGGUGUUGGACGCACUGCGGCUGGUCCCAGGUGGACACGUCUGGCAGCUUCAUCACGUGACCUGCAGCCGCGAUGUGGCGCAGCACGUCGGCUCUGGAGAGGAACUUCCCCUCGCAGCCGUAGCAGCGGCUCUGGUGGAUCUGCCUCCGGAUGAAGUUCACCAGUUUGACCUGCUGGUAGAACCUGAGGUCUGAGAGGAGCAGACAGCGAGAGGUGUCACCGUGUUGCUCUCUGACGCUCUUCAUGCUGCUCGUGGCUGAGAUCAUGACGUCAGACUCUGUUCCUCUGAUCGCUCAGCGUCAGCCGGGGGUCACUGCGACGCCACCCACAGGUAACCAAUGGAUUCCAGGGCGUGGAGGGUUUGCACUAAGCCACGCCCCCCGAACCAGAGCUCCUGUGUCCGCAGCUGGUGGGAGGCGGCAUGGCUGGCGAGGAGGAUGUGCUGAGAGCAGGGGGGCGGAAGAAGAGUCGGAGCGGGAGGGAGCUCAAUGCUGGAGGCGGAGCUUAACCAGAUCCUGGAGGAGGUCAGGUACAUCGCCGGGCGUUUCCGGGGGCGGGACGAGGAGGAGACGGUCUGCAGCGAGUGGAGGUUUGCUGCUGCGGUGAUCAACUGCUUUUGUCUGGUGGCGUUCUCAGUCUUCACCAUCAUCUGCACCAUCGCAAUCCUCAUGUCGGCCCCCAACUUCGUGGAGGCCAUUUCCAAAGACUCCUCCAGCUGAGUUUCUUUACUUCAGUCCACAAACCAACGUGUCAGACGCCCGAGGUCAGUGUUGAGGUCAGUGUCUGAGGUCAGUGUUGAGGUCAGUGUUGAGGUCAGUGUCUGAGGUCAGUGUUGAGGUCAGUGUUGAGGUCAGUGUUGAGGUCAGUGUUGAGGUCAGUGUUGAGGUCAGUGGCUCCUGUGGAAGAUGUUUGGUUUUAUCAAAUUCGUGAUGUUUAAAAUCACAAAAACAAUCAUUGGACCUCGUAAGUUGAAUUUCAACCUAGUCAAUUUAGUAAAUAUCCUUUUCUAUUAGCAGCCAUUGAUAUGAAUCAUUUUAAACUUUACAAUAAUUGUUCCUCUGUGGAUUCCUUGAUAAACUCAACAUUUUUCCAUGUUAGCUCAGAGAAAACUGUGUGUUUACAUCUUGUGUCGGUUCUAACUCUAAUCAACUGACACUCAGACAGAACGUCCUGCAGCUGCUCCACAGAAGAAUAAAGAUAAUGAUGGUGAUGAUGAUGUCCUCCUGGUUUGAAAAGGGCCAAACAGCUGCUCGGAAUCGAACCACCGGAAGCUUUAAAGCUACAAAUGAAUCUCUAUUUUUCGUAUACGUUUUUUUAAAUCCAUCAUCCAAUAAAAAUUGUUGUGACAGUGA
This is a long non-coding RNA of Pleuronectes platessa (European plaice), 1359 nucleotides long. RefSeq lists it as uncharacterized. The transcript is spliced from 3 exons. Lineage: Eukaryota; Metazoa; Chordata; Actinopteri; Pleuronectiformes; Pleuronectidae. The record is from RefSeq and is a predicted model, not a curated record.